GACGAACGCUGGCGGCGUGCCUAAUACAUGCAAGUCGAACGAGUGGCGGACGGGUGAGUAAUGUCUGGGAAACUGCCUGAUGGAGGGGGUUAACUACUGGAAACUGUAGCUAAUACCGCCUACCAUCGGAUGUGCCCAGAUGGGAUUAGCUAGUGGGUGGGGUAAAGGCUCACCUAGGCGACGAUCCCUAGCUGGUCUGAGAGGAUGACCAGCCACACUGGAACUGAGACACGGUCCAGACUCCUACGGGAGGCAGCAGUGGGGAAUAUUGGACAAUGGGCGAAAGCCUGAUGCAGCCAUGCCGCGGGUAUGAAGAAGGCCUUCGGGUUGUAAAGUACUUUCAGCGGGGAGGCGUUACCCGCAGAAGAAGCACCGGCUAACUCCGUGCCAGCAGCCGCGGUAAUUC
RNAcentral lists this ribosomal RNA (406 nucleotides) under uncultured bacterium. Its description in RNAcentral is "partial 16S ribosomal RNA". It matches the Rfam family "Bacterial small subunit ribosomal RNA", at positions 28 to 526 of the family's 1533-position model. The record is from RNAcentral.